Molecule: ribosomal RNA, 495 nt
Filed under: uncultured bacterium
Lineage: Bacteria
Description: partial 16S ribosomal RNA
Rfam family: Bacterial small subunit ribosomal RNA
Source: RNAcentral
GAUGAACGCUGGCGGCGUGCCUAAUACAUGCAAGUAGAACGCUGAAGGAGGAGCUUGCUCUUCUGGAUGAGUUGCGAACGGGUGAGUAACGCGUAGGUAACCUGCCUGGUAGCGGGGGAUAACUAUUGGAAACGACAGCUAAUACCGCAUGACAACAGUUAUUGCAUGAUAACUGUUUAAAAGGGGCAACUGCUCCACUACCAGAUGGACCUGCGUUGUAUUAGCUAGUUGGUGAGGUAACGGCUCACCAAGGCGACGAUACAUAGCCGACCUGAGAGGGUGAUCGGCCACACUGGGACUGAGACAGGGCCCAGACUCCUACGGGAGGCAGCAGUAGGGAAUCUUCGGCAAUGGACGGAAGUCUGACCGAGCAACGCCGCGUGAGUGAAGAAGGUUUUCGGAUCGUAAAGCUCUGUUGUAAGAGAAGAACGAGUGUGAGAGUGGAAAGUUCACACUGUGACGGUAUCUUACCAGAAAGGGACGGCUAACUACGUG